GAAGUUGCUCGGCGCCCUCGCUGACGGCGGCCGACGGCCUCGGGCGGCGCAGUCCGGUCAGGUCUUGUGGCGUCCCGCGGAGGCGACUCCCUCAGGUGGCGCCCGCGGCGGCCGCUGUGGCGGCGGCGGCAGCGGCGACAGGACAGACGACCGACCGACCGACUGCGCGGGCGGCGCGGGGCGCGCUCGGGCGGCGGGGGUGCGCGUGCGCGCGCCGGGGCGCUGACCCUGGGCGGGAGGAGCCGCCGCGCAGCGCUCGGAGCCGCAGCUCAGUCUCGCGGCUCAGUCUCACACUGAAAUUGCCCGCUUCACAGCCCGGCUUCCCCGGUUGCUAGGCAGAUUUCGCCUCGCACACUUCCGGGUUGAGGCGCGUCUCUCCGAGUGAAGGCGCCACAAGCCAAUGAGGUCCAGCCAGGACUCCCAGGACCCGCACCCCAUGGAAGGUGUGGCCAGCUUCAUGACAGACAGCGCAUGACGACCAGCGAGGCCAGACCAGAGGAAAAUGAUCAGUGGAGGAGAUGGGGACUCAGGCUUCCAUUCACGUCAUCUGGCUCAGGAUUUGGGGACUGCAUCCUCAUGCUGAAGACCCCGCCACAGAGGGGGCCCCUGUGGGCAUGGCAGCAAGGGUGGCAGCCGUCUUUGGGAUGGCUCACAAAGCGGACAGAGGAAACAACAAAGACACAGCACGUGGCUCCUGUAAGUCAUUUUACUUUGAAUAUAUAGGAAACAAAA
Long non-coding RNA from Homo sapiens (human), 732 nucleotides. RefSeq lists it as uncharacterized. The transcript is spliced from 2 exons. NCBI's taxonomy places the organism in Eukaryota, Metazoa, Chordata, Mammalia, Primates, Hominidae. The record is from RefSeq and is a predicted model, not a curated record.